RNAcentral lists this transfer RNA (72 nucleotides) under Aedes aegypti (yellow fever mosquito). Its description in RNAcentral is "tRNA AAEL018815". It matches the Rfam family "tRNA". From Rfam's summary of the family: Transfer RNA (tRNA) molecules are approximately 80 nucleotides in length. Their secondary structure includes four short double-helical elements and three loops (D, anti-codon, and T loops). Lineage: Eukaryota; Metazoa; Arthropoda; Insecta; Diptera; Culicidae. The record is from Rfam by way of RNAcentral.
GGCUUGGUAGCUUAGUUGGUAAAGCACUUGUCUGGCAUACAAGAGUCGUGGGUUCGAGUCCCACCUGAGCAC